Long non-coding RNA from Manis pentadactyla (Chinese pangolin), 1707 nucleotides. RefSeq lists it as uncharacterized. The record is from RefSeq and is a predicted model, not a curated record. The transcript has 2 exons. Lineage: Eukaryota; Metazoa; Chordata; Mammalia; Pholidota; Manidae.
CUGUGUAAGACACUUUACAGACAUUAUUUCAUUACAUCCUUGCAACUAUCAUGUGGGAUAGGCCCAAGAGUUGUCCCCUUUUUACAGAUGAAGAAACUGAGGUCCAGAGAAAUAAAAUGAUUCCACUGAGAGAAUACACCUGGGAAGUGUUCAGAAUGCAACACUGGGCCCCAGAGUUCUUUCUAUUCCACAUCUCUGCCCAGGAGUACUGUAAGAUGGUAUUUAUGUGAUGGUUUAUGCCCUCUUUGAUUACAACACUACUUGUAUAAAAAUCAUUGCCAUAUUUGGCCACAGAAAAUAAAGUUUUUGUUCCAUAGAAGUAAUUAGGAGAGCUUUUUAAUUAACUACUAGUAAGGGGGUGUUAAUUAUCCACUUAUUUUCAAUAGUGAAUGGUAUCAUCCCCACACUUAUUAUUAUUGCUGUGGGCCUCAGUUUCUCCUCCUGGAAAAAGUGGGACAAGAUUAGGUCAUUCCUCGGGUCCCUCUGGCUCUGGCAUUCUAGGAUUCUCUGCUUAUGUGAUCCCUCCCAGACAGCAAGAAAGUCCAUAAAUAGUCAUGUCAUAAAACAGCUCAUUUGAACUUUUGAACCAUUUUGGCUGAUCCAAAUGUUGAUUGUUUUGGAAGUUUUUAAUUCUGUGUUUUAGCCAAAGCAUAUUGCAGUAGCACGAGGCUGUGUCUUUCAACUAGUAGUGAACACUCCCAUGCCUCUUGGCUUUUCAAAGCCUACCGAGCUUCUCUCCUGGUUUGUGGAAUAAAAUGCUAGAAUAGUAUAUAAUACAUGUCACAUAGCAUGAAGAUGACAUGUACAUAUAAUAUAUAAUGAACAUAUACUGGCAAUUAUGUGUGUAUUUAACUGAGAUAAGAGAAACAAAGCUUGGAAAACUGGGUAAUAAAUAUGGUUUCUUCUAGGAAUAACCCAACUUCUUGAUGGAGCUUCCCAGAUUUCUCCCACAAGCAGUGCUUCCAUAAACCAUAGCAACUGAUAACUCUGUUAGGACAUUUCUUAUCUCUCUGUGGUAUAAUCAUACAUAUGUAUCCCUAAUUUUUCCUCCUACAGUCUAGGCUUGCAGAAGGCAGGGAUCACACCUGAUUUUUCUGUGCUUAGCACAGAGCCUUGGGUAUUGUAGAAAUUCAGUAAAUGUUUAAUGAAUGAAUGCAGCAAUGGAGGAAUGAGUGAAUGGUUGAUAUGCUGUGGUGUAUAAUUAAAUCAUUGCUUUUUCACCCAUAGAACACGAGAAGGAAACUAGAUUAUCGUGUCUAACACAGCCCAAGAAAUGACUUGCCCAAGGCCACCCUGGCUGCUUUCCACACAGAGAGUCAUUCCAGUCAGAACGGAGCAACCAGCCCACACUAGACAUCACAGCAGAGGAUGUUUAAUAACAAUUCCUCCUCCUCUUUAGCAGGAGCUGCACCUCUUGGCAUCUGAUCUCUUACGGCUGUGUCCUUCCCAUUCCUAUAGAUCAGCCAGUGAGUGGAGUAGUGACCAGAACUAGCCCUAUCUGAGGAAGCCUAGCACCAUUUCUUUGAGAAGUUGGCCCCCACUCUCCAGGGGACCCCUUGCUCCCCACCCCUGCUUACCUACUCCUUCACCACUCUCAACCUCCUCUUCCUGGGAUUCAUCUAAUGUGCUAACUCCACUCUGAAAGUCCCAUGUGGCUCUGUAAUUGCCAGAAAUCUCUCCCAAAGCAAUGAAGUGGUUCUCAUCCAA